RNAcentral lists this ribosomal RNA (396 nucleotides) under uncultured bacterium. RNAcentral's name for it is "bacterial SSU rRNA". It matches the Rfam family "Bacterial small subunit ribosomal RNA", at positions 28 to 420 of the family's 1533-position model. The record is from RNAcentral.
GACGAACGCUGGCGGCGUGCUUAACACAUGCAAGUCUACGAGAACGAGAUAGCAAUAUUUUUAGUAAAGUGGCGCACGGGUGCGUAACACGUAAGCAAUCUACCUUUGGGUCUGGAAUAACUUCGAGAAAUCGAGGCUAAUACCGGAUAAUGCAGCGGCACCGCAUGGUGAUGUUGUUAAAGUUUGAGUAAUGCCUAUAGAUGAGCUUGCGUCUGAUUAGCUAGUUGGUAGGGUAAAGGCCUACCAAGGCUACGAUCAGUAGCUGGUCUGAGAGGAUGAUCAGCCACACUGGAACUGAGACACGGUCCAGACUCCUACGGGAGGCAGCAGUGAGGAAUAUUGGGCAAUGCCCGAAAGGGUGACCCAGCAACGCCGCGUGGAGGAUGAAGGCCGUAA